AUGAGCGGGGCGGCGGAGGAGGCGGACUCGCCGCCGACGCACAUGUCCGAGGACUCCCCCGGCUCCUCCUCCUCCGGCGGCAGCGGCGGCGGCAGGCGGACGCCGGAUCUGAGGGGCGGCGACAACGGCGGCGGCCCGCGCGCCUCCUCCUCCUCCUCCUCGGCGCCGCCCGACCAGGUCCUGGACAACGUGCUGGAGAGCGUGCUCGAGUUCCUCACCGCGGCCCGCGACCGCAACGCCGCCUCGCUCGUCUGCCGCUCCUGGUACCGCGCCGAGGCGCAGACGCGCCGCGAGCUCUUCAUCGGCAACUGCUACGCCGUCGACCCGCGCCGCGCCGUCGCCCGCUUCCGCGCCGUCGCCGCCGUCGUGCUCAAGGGCAAGCCGCGCUUCGCCGACUUCAGCCUCCUCCCCGACGGCUGGGGCGCCAACGUCAAGCCCUGGCUGGAGGCGCUCGGCCCCGCCUACCCGUGCCUCGAGCGCAUCUGCCUCAAGCGCAUGACCGUCACCGACGACGACCUCGGCCUCGUCGCGCGCUCCUUCCCGGGGUUCCAGGAGCUCUCCCUCGUCUGCUGCGACGGCUUCAGCACCCUCGGCCUCGCCGUCAUCGCCGAGCGUUGCCGGCACCUGAGGGUUCUGGAUCUGAUCGAGGACUAUGUGGAUCAGGAGGACGAAGCAGUGGACUGGAUCUCCAAGUUCCCAGUGUCAAACACAUCCCUAGAGUCCCUCAUGUUUGACUGCGUUGGUGCCCCAUUCAACUUUGAGGCCCUGGAGGCCCUUGUGGCACGCUCGCCCUCUCUUCGCCGGCUGCGUGUGAACCACCACGUUUCAGUGGAGCAGCUCCGCCGUCUCAUGGCGCGGGCUCCGCAGCUCACACACCUUGGCACUGGGGCCUUUCGUCCUGAGGCUCCACAAGGUGAGGGCAUGUCGGUGUCUGAACUCGCGCCCUCUUUUGCAGCCUCGACGUCUAUAGUCUGCCUCUCUGGAUUCCAGGAGGUCAACCCUGAAUACCUUCCAGCAAUCUACCCAGUGUGUGGUAAUCUCACCUCCCUUAACGUUAGCUUUGCAAGCCUGACUGCUGAGGAUCUGACACCAGUCAUUCGCCAAUGCCACAAACUUCAGACAUUCUGGGUUCUUGAUACUGUGGGUGAUGAAGGCCUCAGGGCUGUGGCCGAGACAUGCUCUGAUCUUCGUGAGCUGCGAGUAUUUCCGCUGGAUGCCACCGAGGACUCUGAUGGGUCUGUGUCAGAUGUUGGGCUUCAGGCUAUAUCCGAAGGUUGCCGAAAGCUUGAAUCCAUACUUUACUUUUGCCAGCGGAUGACAAAUGCUGCGGUCGUAGCUAUGUCCAAUAACUGCCCUGACCUUGUGGUGUUCCGUCUUUGCAUCAUGGGUCGCCACCGCCCUGAUCGCAUUACUGGGGAGCCCAUGGAUGACGGCUUUGGUGCGAUAGUGAAGAACUGCAAGAAACUUACUAGGCUCUCUGUCUCUGGCCUGCUCACUGAUAAGGCAUUUGCAUACAUUGGGCAAUAUGGCAAACUAAUAAAGACUUUGUCUCUUGCCUUCUCGGGGAACAGUGACCUGUCGCUUCAGUUUUUGUUCGAGGGAUGCACUCGGUUACAGAAGCUAGAGGUCAGAGAUAGCCCUUUCAGUGACAGGGGAUUGCUUUGUGGUCUGGAUUAUUUCUACAAUAUGAGGUUCCUGUGGAUGAAUUCAUGCAGGCUAACCAUGAGGGGCUGUAGGGAGGUAGCUCAGCGGAUGCCUAACUUGGUCGUUGAAGUAAUGGAGGAGCAAAAUGAGGACAAGGUGGAAACAGAGACCGUUGAUAAGUUGUACCUGUACCGAUCACUAGCAGGGCCAAGGGGUGAUGCGCCGCCAUUGGUGAAAAUUUUGUAG
RNAcentral lists this ribosomal RNA (1890 nucleotides) under Triticum aestivum (bread wheat). Its description in RNAcentral is "partial small subunit ribosomal RNA". Lineage: Eukaryota; Viridiplantae; Streptophyta; Magnoliopsida; Poales; Poaceae. The record is from RNAcentral.